This 1011-nucleotide ribosomal RNA is filed under the name uncultured bacterium. RNAcentral describes it as "bacterial SSU rRNA". It matches the Rfam family "Bacterial small subunit ribosomal RNA", at positions 499 to 1501 of the family's 1533-position model. The record is from RNAcentral.
AACUUCGUGCCAGCAGCCGCGGUAAUACGAAGGGCCCGAGCGUUAUUCGGAAUCACUGGGCUUAAAGCGUGCGUAGGCGGACUUGUAGGCGUUUUGUGAAAUCCCUCGGCUCAACCGAGGAACUGCAGAGCGAACCCCAAGUCUUGAGACAGAUAGAGGUUGUCGGAACGAUUGGUGGAGUGGUGAAAUGCGUUGAUAUCAAUCGGAACGCCAAAUGAGAAGUCAGGCAACUGGAUCUGUUCUGACGCUGAGGCACGAAAGCGUGGGUAGCGAACGGGAUUAGAUACCCCGGUAGUCCACGCCGUAAACAAUGUGCACUAGGUCGAGGGCGUUCUGACGCGACUCUCGGCCGAAGCGAAAGUGUUAAGUGCACCGCCUGGGGAGUACGGUCGCAAGGCUAAAACUCAAAGGAAUUGACGGGGGCUCACACAAGCGGUGGAGCAUGUGGCUUAAUUCGAAGCAACGCGAAGAACCUUAUCCUAGGUUUGACAUACACGGAUUAGCUAUAAGAAACUAUAGUGACACCUUCGGGUGGAACGUGAACAGGUGCUGCAUGGCUGUCGUCAGCUCGUGCUGUGAAGUGUCGGGUUAAGUCCCUUAACGAGCGCAACCCUUAUCGUUAGUUGCUAACAGGUAAUGCUGAGGACUCUAGCGAGACUGCCGGUGUUAAACCGGAGGAGGGUGGGGAUGACGUCAAGUCCGCAUGGCCUUUAUGCCUAGGGCCGCACACGUGCUACAAUGGCAAGUACAAAACGAAGCAAUACCGCAAGGUGGAGCAAAUCGCAAAAACUUGCCCCAGUUCGGAUUGCAGGCUGCAACUCGCCUGCAUGAAGUUGGAAUCGCUAGUAAUCGUGGAUCAGCAUGCCGCGGUGAAUACGUUCCCGGGCCUUGUACACACCGCCCGUCACACCAUGGGAGUUGGUUUUACCCGAAGACGGUGCGCUAACCUUUAGGGGAGGCAGCCGGCCACGGUAAGGUCAGCGACUGGGGUGAAGUCGUAACAAGGUAACC